Molecule: ribosomal RNA, 253 nt
Filed under: uncultured bacterium
Lineage: Bacteria
Description: partial 16S ribosomal RNA
Rfam family: Bacterial small subunit ribosomal RNA
Source: RNAcentral
UACAGAGGUCCCGAGCGUUGUUCGGAUUUAUUGGGCGUAAAGAGCUCGUAGGCGGUUUGUCGCGUCGAAUGUGAAAACCCGGGGCUCAACCCCGGGCCUGCAUUCGAUACGGGCAGACUAGAGUUCGGUAGGGGAGUCUGGAAUUCCUGGUGUAGCGGUGAAAUGCGCAGAUAUCAGGAGGAACACCGGUGGCGAAGGCGGGUCUCUGGGCCGAUACUGACGCUGAGGAGCGAAAGCGUGGGGAGCGAACAGG